Molecule: ribosomal RNA, 404 nt
Filed under: Gulella translucida
Lineage: Eukaryota; Metazoa; Mollusca; Gastropoda; Stylommatophora; Streptaxidae
Description: partial 16S ribosomal RNA
Source: RNAcentral
CAAUUUCUGCCCAAUGAUUUUUUUAAUGGCCGCGUACCCUGACUGUGCUAAGGUAGCAUAAUAAAUUGGCUUUUAAAUGAGGUCUAGAAUGAAAGAAUUUUUGAGUAGUAAUUGUCUUUUUUUUAAUUUAUUGAAGUUAUUUUAUUAGGUGAAAAGACCUAUUUUUAUAAGAAAGACGAGAAGACCCUUAGAAUUUUAAAAAUUUUUCUGUUGGUAAUUUUUUUUUGUUGGGGUGACAUAUUAACAAUUUUAACUUUUUUUACUACAAGACCAUAUAUUUAGUUAGAAUAAAUUACCUUAGGGAUAACAGCAUAAUUUUUUUUUAAGAUUAUGACCUCGAUGUUGGACUAGGAACCUAAUAGUUAGUAAUUAAAUUGGUUAGUUCUGUUCGAACUAUCUCUCCU